Molecule: long non-coding RNA, 14543 nt
Organism: Oryctolagus cuniculus (rabbit)
Lineage: Eukaryota; Metazoa; Chordata; Mammalia; Lagomorpha; Leporidae
Source: RefSeq, a predicted model, not a curated record
UAGAAAUUCCUCUUGGUCUGUGGUGCUUAGGGCAGAGGUUUGCGUGCGUUUGCUCAUAUUACCACACGUGGGCACUUACGGCCGUCACGCAGCCACCUGGAACGUACCACGUGUAGAUUUCCUUCGAAGUCCCUAUCGUCUUGCCCGCCCCCACAUAGUGAACACCAGAAGCCUAUUCAAGGCCUGAUUUAUUGAUUACAGCUUGCGCUCCAUACCUUUCAUUAUUCCAUCAGCCAUGAUAGAGGAAACUGAACCAGACAGCGAGUAGAAAGUAUGUUGUUUUUUUUUUAAGAAAGCAGAAAAGGAAUGCAAGCCAAGACCCAAAAAAGUAUUCUGGACAUGGACUGGUCAAGCUUGGCCUCAGCAGAGGGCCUUCACACAGAAAAAGAGGAACCAAUAAAAUGUUCAACAGUCAUAUGGAAUGGAAUGGGAAUGAAAAGGAUACUCAACCAUACAGCCCAUUUUCCCACAAGACAUUUAUCGAGUUUGGGGGUUGUACCAGAUGCUGAGGGAUUGGACCUGGUAGGCAAAGUAAAAUCUCCUCCCAUUCUACCAAGACAUACAAAAUUCACUCCACUUAGAAAGUGCCUGCCUCAAAGACAGAGGCACUGGCCGGCGCCGCGGCUCACUAGGCUAAUCCUCCGCCUUGCGGCGCCGGCACACCGGGUUCUGUCCCGGUCAGGGCGCUGGAUUCUGUCCCGGUUGCCCCUCUUCCAGGCCAGCUCUCUGCUGUGGCCCAGGAGUGCAGUGGAGGAUGGCCCAGGUGCUUGGGCCCUGCACCCCAUGGGAGACCAGGAGAAGCACCUGGGUCCUGGCUUCGGAUCAGCGCGGUGCGCUGACCGGCAGUGCGCCGGCUGUGGCAGCCAUUGGAGGGUGAACCAACGGCAAAAGGAAGACCUUUCUCUCUGUCUCUCUCUCUCUCACUGUCCACUCUGCCUGUCAAAAAAAAAAGACAGAGGCACUUUCACUCCUCGAGACAUUCCCAAUAUUUCUGCGAUAUGAGCAGAAGUCUGAAGAUCUAAAGUUUAACAUCUCUCAGAGACAGAACUGAAUCUCCUGAGCAAAGGAAACGAGGUCCUUCCAGGCUCUUAAUCAGAUGCCCUGAGGAAUUACGUGAGAAGACCAGAGAACCCAGAAGUGGCCAGAGUCUCACUAAAACUGCCACCCAGUCCAACCCAGCUCAUCCCUGAAUAGAUUGAGGUAAUCAGACCACUCUCUGUUUUUCCAUCUAUAUUGUCUAUAGGUUUUUAAUAGAAAAAUCUGGCACUUGGUAAAAAUAUUCUGACACAUGAGAAGAGCAGGAAAAUUUGACCAGUAAUCAAGAGAAAAAAAAAGUAGGUAAUAGAAGACCCAUAGAUAAAUCAGAUAAUAGCAUUCAGUUUAGAAUUUUACCAUCGUAAAAUAAAGCAAUAGGAGAAAAAGUAGACAAAAUGAAUUAAAAUAUACAGAAUUUUAACAAUUGGAAUCCAUGAAAUAAUUAAUGGAAAAUCUUGAAUUUAAAAAUAUAAUAUCUACAAUAAAAAGCUUAAUGAAUGGGUUUAACAGCUGACUGGACACAGCAGAACAGAGGAUUAGUGAACUUGAGAACAGGUCAAGAAAAAAUAUUCAGAACAGGCACACUUAUAAAGGCAGAAAGUAAUUUAACAGUUACUUAGGGCUGAGGGUAGUAGAGGUUAGAUAUUGACUGCUAAUGCAUAUGGGAAUUUUUUAAGGAGUAUAAAAAUGUUCUAAAAUUAGAUCACGGUAAUGGUUACAUAAACUUGUGAAUACUAAAAACAUAGACUUGUACAUUUUAAGUGAGGAAAAUGUGUGUUGUGUCAAUUAUAUCUCAGUAGGGCUGUUAAAAAAAGGAAGGAAAAAACAACCAUACAAAUGCAAUAAACUCGGCAAACUCCCAUAGGAUAAAUGUAACAAAUCUAAGUAUGUCAUAGUCAAACGUUAGAAAAUCUUCUGGGGGUUGGCGCUGUGGCAUAGCGGGUAAAGCCGCCGCCUGCAGCGCUGGCAUUCCAUAUGGGCACCAUUUCGAAUACCGUCUGCUCCACUUCUGAUCCAUUUCUCUGCUAUGGCCUGAGAAGGUGGUCAAAGAUGGCUCAAGUUCUUGGGACCCUGUACCCACAUGGGAGACCUGGAGGAAGCUCCAGGCUCUUGGCUUCGGAUCGUCUCUGUUCUGGCCAUUGGGGCCAUUUGGAGAGUGAACCAGCGGAUGGAAGACUUCUCUCUCUCUCUUUCUCUCUUUCUCUCUCUCUCUCUCUUUCUCUACCUCUCUGUAACUCUGCCUUUCAAAUAAAUAAAUAAGUAAAUAUUAAAAAAAAAAAGCUUCUGAGAAGCAAUGAAGGCAAGCGUUUCAAAAAGCCUUAAAGAAGGAAAUCUUAAAGUCUAAGGAAGGCAGAAAAUUAAUGAGCUAAUAUAAAUAUGUGCAUAGUUCAGUGUAAGGAGUUAAAUAAUCAGAAUUAAUCUGCCUUUUACUUUUUUAAAUGGUUUUAGUGAAGACAUCUAAUUAUUUUCAAUAUGGUGCUUUGCAAGUAAGCUGGGAAUGUAUCAGCUCUUAUAUGAUUAAAGAAUGAUUUUACAUGUUAAAAAUCAUUUUGUAGGUUCUGUAGACUCUAUGGAUAAGGUUCAAGGUGUAACUAUUUGUGUGUGGCUAAAAUGCACAGGGAAAAAUAUGCAAUGAGAACAGGGAGAAUCCAACUUGUUGAUGGGUCAUCCACAUAGAGGUUGAUAGGAAGAAUUUUGAUCCUGUUACACAAAAUCUUGAACAUCAUAAUAACCAUUGCCUUUAAAUAGAUAUGUGUGUGUAUGUGUAUAUUUAUAUGUAUAUAAUUUACUGAUUAGAGAGACAGAGUUCCCAUCUGCCAGUUUACUACCCAAAUGCUUGCAACAUCUUGGGAUGAGCCUGUCCAAAGCUAGGGGCUGGGAACCCAAUCCAGGUCUCCCACACUGGGGUAAUGGUAGCGCAGGAACGCAAUUACUUGAGCCAUCACCUGCCGCCUUCCAGCGUCUGCAUUAGCAGGAAGUUGGAAUCAGAAGCUGGAACUGGAGAUUGAACUCGCAGGCACUCUGAUGUGGGACACAGGCAUCUUAACAGGUGUCUUAACUGCUAGAUCAAACUCAUGCCCAUGACCUACCCUUUGACAGCGGGGAAUGUGAAAGAAUACUGGUAAAUUAAUAGACCAAUAGUACACAAAGACGCUUCAAUAAGAUAUUUGGUAGUUUAUCAUUUACUUUUGGGUGAGAUUAAAUUUGUGAAACAGAAUGGAAUAUAGAAUCUAUUACAACUAAAAUCUAAACUCAUAAAAGCAACAUUAAUGGCCUAUUCAUCUCAUGAUUUAGAAAAAUCUGGCUCUCAUUAAAUCUUGAAAUGUUCUCAUUAGCCUCUAUAUGGCUGUUUCUCAAAUACAUGGACAUGAAGUUCUGAGAUGUCAUUGUUCUUUAAUGGAACAUUAUCCUCUCUUAGUAAUUUAUUUAUCCAAACACUAUUCACAGACUUUCAUUGAGUUGACAAAGGUUAGAAAAAUAUUGUUUUGGGGAAGCACCUUCUUGGGAAAUAAUUCCUUUUGUAUUGCAUUUUGAAUUUUAAUCAUUUGAAGGUCCUUAUGAAUAAAUACAGAUGUUCUUCAUGUUAUAAAUAAUAAAUAUAAAUUUCUAACAUGUUGAUUUUCACUUCUUUGAAUAAUGCACUACUUAUUCAAAUAACCUCAUAGUGAAUAAGAGCACAGAUUCCAGAACCAGUUAGAUUAAAUUUGAGCCCUAGCUCUAUCAGUUACUAGCUGGGUGAUUUCUGUGUUUCAUCUUACUCUAAAAAUUUGAGUAACACUGCCAUCAAAAUCUAAGGUUGUUGUGGGAAUUAAGUGAGAUAAUUAGUGCUGAGUAUAUAGCGAUUGCUGUAUAUAUAUAACUAUAAUUUUAUGGAAAGUCUUUAUAUUGUAUUAAAGCUUCCAUAAAUAAAUCUUAUCUAGUUAUUUUUAUUGUUUUUUCAUUUGAGAGCAGAGAGAGACAAGAGAUAUGGAGACAGGGAGGGAGAGGGAGAGAAAGCUCCUAUUAGCAGGUUCAACCCCUGGGUAUCUACAAUAGGGAGGUACAGGGGGGCCAAGCCGGUAGCUUGGAACUCAACCAGGCCUCACAUGAGAACUACUUGAACUAUCAGCGCUGCCUCCCAGGGUCUGCUUUAUCGGGAAGUUGGAGUCAGGAGCAGGAGUUGCGAAUCAAAUCCAGCUACUCCUGUAUAGCACACAGCUAUCCCAACCACUGGCCAAAUGCCUGCCCUUAUCUCUUUGUAAAUGUCUAGAUGUUGUCUUUAAAAGUAUUUGUUAUCAAGCUUAGGCUGUUCUUGUACACGUCACUAGAAAUUUGUCUAAUCUUUUGUCUAGAUUGAUAAAAGACUUAAAAGACUUUUCACACACACACAAAAGUGAUUGUUAAAGUCAGUUUAAAUUUUUUCAUUCCAACUUCAUAAAAACAUACUAGUAGGGCCAGCAUUGUGGCAUAGUGGGUUAAGCUGCUGUCUGCAGCGCCAGAAUCCCAUAUGGGUGCCAGUUCAAGUAGUGGCUGUCCAAUUCCGAUCCAGCUUCCUGCUAGUGCACCUGGGAAAACAACUGAGGAUGGCCCAAGUGCUUAGGUCCUAUACUCACGUGGGAGACCCAGAAGAAACUCCUGGCUCCUGGCUUCCGCCUGGCCCAGCCCUAGCCAUUGCAGUCAUUUGGAGAGUGAACCAGUGGAUGGAAGACCUCUGUAGCUCCCUCUCUCUCUCUAAUUCUGCCUUUUAAAUAAAUAAAAUCUUUUUUAGAAACCAAUUAUUAAUGAUUUUCCUGCUAAAUUCAGCUUCAGGUUAAACAGCAGAUAUUAAUAGCAUGUACCUGAUUGAAUAAAAGGAAAACAUUCACAUUCAACUAUUUAGUCAUUCGAGAUUCACUGGUAGUUGUCAUCUUACUCUGUAGUAGCUAGCUCCAGGUUUUCAGUGAUAUUUUCUGCUUGGUGUGGACUUUAAUUAUCACAGAAAAAUCCAUGUUAAAAUUUCUUCUAACAUCUUGUGGUUCCAGGAUUAUCAUUUUUCAAAGGUUUUUAGUAACUAACUUGAAUAACUUUUUAAAAUUUAAGCAUUAGUCUUUCUCCUUCAACCCUCUCUCCUACCAACUCCUCAAUUCAACACAACCACAGCAAUUGUAUUUUCUUCAAACACAAAGGUUCCAAUUAGCCUACAAAAGGAAAUUUUAACAGACCUCUUCUUCAGCCUGAACAGCUUGGUUUUGGCAUCCAGCCACUGAGCGCUAGUACUAUUUAUGAUGCCAAAUUGGAACACAGAGGAAAACAGUGCUGAGUUGCUAUUCACCUCAAUCAACAGGCCCCAACUAAGGCAUGAGUGUGUAUGUAGAAAUUCCAUGCCUCAUAAGUUCUUGUUAUUAAAUUUACUACGAGGAGGCCAUAUUCUGCACAAUCCUGCAUUGGUAAUAUGAUCACAUAAAAACAUGGAGACAGAGUAAAGAAAACUUGGUUCCAAAUGGUAAGAUAUGGGAAAUUUAAAUUUGCCGUCCUAAAUAUUUCUGUUGCAUUGCACCCAUUUUACCAAGCUAUAUAUCCCAACUUCAUCUCUCUCCACCUCCUAUUUAAAAUGCUCUAUCAUUUUUUCCACCACAUAUGGGCUCUUAGUGAUAAGAUUUCAUAAUUAAAGUCUAUUAACUUUAAAAAAAAGGGAGAUAAUAAUUUCACCACCAGGGGGCAAACAACAUUUUUAUAGGCAGAAGAUGUAUUUAACAUUUUACAGAAAUUAUCUCCUGUGAACAUAUCCUUUUUACUGUUAAAAUUCAGUACACUUAAAUUAACAGAUAUGAUUCUAACUUAAAUCUUUAAAUUUAAGGAUAGAGUAUGUUUACAAGGGAGAAAUUUUUACAAGUUGUCAUUAAUUUGUAUAAUUAUAUAAGUCCAUUUUACUUGUGUAGUAAAUGGAUGCCCUUCCUUUUGUGAUAAGUUUUUAGGUGUUAAAAGGAAAUUUCUCCCUCCAUUUAGCCUUUUCUUUCCUGUAUAUACUCAUAAAGAAGAAAAGCAGAAAUGGGCUUUUGGAUUGCUAGUCUAGUCUUUGUCUAGAGGGCCUUUACAUUACUUUUAGUGUAGAUACAGGAUAUCUUGACAAAUGGUUCUGAAGUAUGUAUUUCAGCUCAGCUUAACUUAUAUACUUAGGUCUUUAUUUCCUUCUGAAUUUGGGUUUAUUGUCUUGCUUACAUUAAUUGACACUUUACCAUUUUCUAAUUGUAUGUAUUUAUUUAUAAUUAUUUAUUUAUUUAUUUAGAAAGGCAGAAAGAGAGAGAAAUCUCCUAUCCACUGGUUCACUCCCCAGAUGCUAACAAUAGCUGGGGACAGGCCAGGCCAAAGCUAGGAACUGGGAACUCAAUCUACUGCCCAACCCCUUGGCCAUCACUGCUGCCUCACAAGCUGUGUAUUAGCAGGAAGCUGGCAUUGGAGUGAAGCCAGGACUUGAAUCCUGGCACUUGGAUAUGCCAUGUGGACCUUCCAAGUGGCAUCUUAACUUUGCCAAAUGCCUACCUCCACUUGCUAAUUUUAUAUGGGUGAAAUGAUCAUUUUGAUAAAUUACUCCCUUUGAAACUUUGAUACCACUAAACUUAUCUGGUACAGCACCAGAAUUGUGAAUAUCUCAUGGACAAUAAACAAAAUUUUCAGUACAGUAAAUUAUUGGCAAUAAAAAUCUCUUCAGUGAAAAUUUCGGUCCAAAAUGUGUAAGUCCUGUCGUCCAAAGUUUCUGGAUAUAUGAUUAUUCCUGAGUUGUAAGUAAAUAUUCUAGUAAUGGAAGCAAAAUGAGAUUUUUUUUUGUAAACGAAGGCAUCUGUGGGAUGGUAAAAUAACCACAUUUCACUCCUCUUGGCUUAUUUUCUCUCCCCUCUUCCUGCUUCUAAUUGUUUGCCAAGACCACAUUUCCCUGAAUUGAUUCUAGCGAUAUCAUUAUUUCAAACGAGGGCUGGAGGAGAAUGCAGAGGCCACAGUGGUCUGGCAAGACCUGUGGCUGGCUCACACCCCAGCAUGGUUAUUACCAUGUUCCCAGGGCUACCACCAGGGGGGACAGAACGGAGCCAGAUAUCCCUUCCUGUUCACCUAAACGAUAUUUUUAUCCAGGUGAAAUCACAUUGAAGUAAACAUUGCUCACAAACAUAAGGAGAAAAAUAAGUUGCAAAAUGUCAGCAUAAAGGGCUUAUUUAGACACAUGCUAACAUAUAUUCCAUGUCCUGCCCUCUGUUACAUUACUGUGGAAGGGAAAUUUAGAGAUAAAAGGGUUUUUUUUUUUCUUCUGCUGUUAAUUUGCUUCUUAAAAAAAAAAUAUGAAAAAAAAAUGUGUUUUGAGCUGUUGGUUCUUCAGUGGGUUAAGCCCUGCUUGGGAUGACCACACUCCAUAUGCAGUUUAAGCCCUGGCUCCUCUGCUUCCUGCUAAGGUGCCUGUGAAGGAAGGCAGCAGAUGGACCCAGGUAUGUGGGUCCCUGCCACCCAUGUAGGAGACCCGGAUGGAGUUCCUAGCUCCUGGCCUUUACCUGGCCCAGCCCCAGCUCUUGCGGGCAUUUGGAGAGUGAACCAGUGGAUGGACAAUUUGUCUCUCUCUCUCUCUGACUUUUAAAUAAUCUUUUUUUUUUUUUUAAGUGUGCUUUGAGGCAGGUCUUUAUCUGUUUUUCAGUUAAAAUACCGGUGAAAAUGCGCACAUCCCACAUCAGAAUUUGCCAUGUUCGUUUCUGGGCUGCAGCUGUGCCUUCAGCUUCUCUCCAGUGCAGACCCUGGGAAGCAGCAGUCAAGUAGUUGGGUCCCUGCCAUCCAUGUCAGGAACCUGAAUUGAGUCAAGGCUCCCAGCUUCAGCCCCUUGCCCCUCGCCUCCCAUCCCUCUGGUGGCCAACAUUUGGGGAGUGAACCUGUCCACAAGAACUCUGUCUUUCCGCCUCUUGGAUUAAUUAAUUAAUUGAUACUUUUGUAAAAAGCUGAGAAUCUUGGCUAGGUAUUUCAGGGUCAGAUGGACAAAUUCUAUGGGAAGAAACAGAAAAAAUUCACUUAACAUUUUUUAAUGUGUUUUAGUGUCACUUUACAGGUGUGGCUGCUUCUUUUCCAACAGAAGUGUGUCCUUGAGACACUGUGCAGUCACUCUGAAACAUUACAACCUGUAUUAGAUACCACGGUGCAUCUCUUCAAAUGUUCUACGUUUUACUCGUACACUAGCUAUACCCAAGUGACCAGUUUCAUACUGGCUUCAGCCAGCCUCCCACAAGUACACUGGAAAGGACUUUGCCUUGGGUCAAAUUUUCUGACUUUUACAUUUUUGUAGUGGCAGGUGAUUGCCUAUAUAUACUAUCUAGCAUUUUCUUAAAAAUUUAAACACACUAUAGAAUAUCUUUAAGGUAAAGACACUGUUUAAGAAGUAAGAAAGAAGCUCAUACUAUACAGAGAACUAUACAUGGAAAUGAAUAUUUGGAAAUAUUUCCACGAUUGUAUUUUUUUUGGCCAAAAUUUGUAUAUGUCACUAAUAAAAAGCAAUUAAACUAAUAAAUGCUCUUUUAUCUGAACCCUUAAAAACUUACUCAAAAGUCUUGCAAGUGAGGAUCUAAAGAUAUAAAAUCCAUUUGUUAAAAAUAUAAAAACUACUACUUUUCAGUCAGUUGGCAAGAAUAGUUAUUUGGCAUUAGGGAGGAUGGACAAUUCUAAGCUAUAUUUUAAUUUUAAAAUUUUAUUUAAAAGAAAAUUUUAUUUAUUUGAAAGGCAAACAAACAAGACACCAAGUAAAAGAGCAAUCUCUUAUCUGCUGCUUCAUUCCCCAAAUACCUUUAACAGCCUGGAUUGGGCCAGGCUGAAGCCAGGAGAUGAGAACUCAACCUAGAUCUCCCAUGUGAGUGACAGGGACCAAACUACUUGAUCAAUCACCAUUGGCUCCCAUGGUGUCCAUCAGCAGGAAGUUAGAAUCAGAAACAGCAACAAGAUUUGAAUUCAGGUACUCCAUGAUGGGAUGUGGGUGACCCCAGCAGGGGCUUAACUGCUGUGUUAAAUUCCUGUACCAUUAAGCUAUGUUUUAGCAAAAGUCUUUGCACAAUUGCUGAAUGGAAGUGAAAAAUGAAUCUAAGACUUAAUGACAGAGUGAACUCCUUUCAUUGGAAUUUGUGUUUCUCGGUGGAAUGUUUCUUACCUAUGACAACCAUUAAAACUAAACAGCUAAAUGACUUGAAUUUAGAAUCAGACCUUCACUUUGUAACAAAAUGUUAAACCAGAUUUAAAAAUAAUCAUUUUCAGCACAUGAAAAUUGAUGGUAAUAUUCUUCAGUUUGAAAGAUAGUCUUCGUUUAAUGGUGACUUCAUGAGACAAUGGUUAAGAAGGUUUUAAGUGGGCUGGCACUGUGGCAUAGUAGGCUAAGCCUCAGCCUGCGGCACCGCCAUAUUAUAUAUGGCACCAGUUCAUGUCUUGGCUACUCCUCUUCUGAUCCAACUCUCUGCUAUGGCCUGGAAAAGCAAUGGAAGAUGGCCCAAGUGCUUGGGGCCCUGCACUCAUGUGGCAGAUCCAGAAGAAGCUUCUGGCUUCAAAUGUGCCCAGUUUUGCCAUUGCAGCCAUCUGGGGAGUGAACCAGUAGAUGAAAGAUCUCUCUCUCUCUCUCUCUAACUCUGCCCCUCAAAUAAUAAACAAAACAAAAAAUUUUAAAAGGUUUUGGGGCCAGCACGGUGGCGCACUAGGUUAAUCCUCUGCCUGUGGCGCCGGCAUCCCAUAUGGGCGCCAGAUCCUAGCCCUGGAUGCUCCUCUUCCAGUCCAGCUCUCUGCUGUGGCCCGGAAGGGCAGUGGAGGAUGGCCCAGGUGCUUGGGUGCCUGAACCCGCAUGGGAAACCAGGAAAGAAGCUCCUGGCUCCUGGCUUCGGAUCAGCGUAGCUCUGGCCGUGGCGGCCAUUUGGGGAGUGAACCAACAGAAGGAAGACCUUUCUCUCGGUUUCUCUCUCUCACUAUCUGUAACUCUGUCAAAUAAAUAAAUAAAAAUCUUUUAAAAAAGAUUUUAAGUGUAUUCCAUUUAGAGCACAUUUCACCCGUUGCUUACUUUUCAAAAUGCUUGCUCUUUCCUCAUUGUUAUUAACUUCAUCUUUACUUUAAAGGAAUGUAUUACUUAAGAAAUAUUCCUUUCAUUUAACUUUUAAUUGAAUUAUCUUGUGGCCUCCCACCACACUCAGAAUGAAUCACUGUUGUUUGAAAACCUACAUAACCUUAUGCUAUGGUUUGGAUGUGGUAUUUCUCCCUCGUGUUGAAAGCUUGGUCUUCAGUGUGGUGAUGUUAAGAGGUGGUGGGAUCUUUAAGAGGUGGGGCCUAGCAUAAAUUGUUGAGAUCAUUGGAAGCACUGCCCUAGGAAGAGAUUAGUGCUCUUCUAGUGAGGCUUCUGGCUAGCACUUUUGAGAGGAUUUCUUUAAAAAACAUGCUUGGCCCCUCCCUGGCCUCUUCAGCUUCCGGUUUCACCUCGUGGCAUCUCCCUCUUAUAUGUGUUCCUGCUGUGGUGCCACUUCCCAUGAUGUGAUGCAGACCUCACCAGAGCUGGCACCAUGCUCCUUGGACUGUCAGUAUCCAACACUAUGAGCUAAACAAGUCUCUUUUCUUAAUAAAGUAGGUAGCCUCAGAUAGUUCGUUACAGUAACAGAAAAAGGAUUAACCCAUUUGGACUCUGCCUAACUGCACCUCAUCUCUCUCUUGCUGCACUUGUCUGCCUUCAGAGCACACCAAGCUCAGCAGUCUUAGGGCCUUUGAAUUUUCCAGGGUUCUCCCCACAGAUCUCUGCUUGGGCAGCUUCAAAUGCUUCAUUCAGGUCUGCACUAAAAUUAAACCACAUCAGAUAGGUGCAUCUCACCUAAAAGUUCACUCAGUUGCUCCCCUUCACAGCACUAUCUGCUUUAGUCUGACUCUUGUUACUACAACUAAAACACCUGAGAGGAUUUUCUUGUGAAGGAAGAUGGCUUAUUGCAGCCUACAGUUUUAAAGGUUCAUAGUCCAAGGUCAGGUGGCCUCAUUGGUCUGGUAUCUUUUGAGGGGGAUGGAGGGCACAGUGCUUAUGGAGGGAGGAUCAUAUGGCUAGACAGGAAGGAGAGAGAGAGCAACCAAGCUGAACUAUGCUUAUAUAAUCAACCCUCCCCUCAGAACUACCUUUUGAGACCAUGUCCCCAGUGACCUGAAGACCAUCUGCUUGACCCAUCUCCCAGAUACCAUGACUAGAUCACUAGAUCAAAUCUUCAUCCUUAAUGCAUUAACCAUUAACAUUAAUCAGUUAAUCAGUAAAAUAACACUUUGGGGACCAAGUUUCCAAUAUAUAGAUCUUUAGGGCAUAAUCAAACUAUUCUCCAAGCUAUAGCACCACUUCUCAUAGUGUUGAUUUUGGUUAUUUUUCCUUAUCUCUUCAUUUUUAAAUAUUGUCUGACUCACUAAAAUGCAGAUUCCUUGACAGCACGGACCUUUGUCUUUUUCAUUCCUUCAAAUACUGCUUGGCCUAUAUUAAGCAUCCCAUAAAUAUUGUUGAAUUAAAAGGUGAAAACUUUUCCUCUCUGAUAAUUACAUACUAUAUUGUAGAUCAGAUUCCCCUGACAAAGCAAUCAGGUAUACUGGAGAAUUGUCCAUAUUGAAGCCAGGGGGAGAAUAUUCCAUGUUUUGCUAUGUAGAACCUUCAUAGUAAAGAAAGGGAUGACUUGAACUACACGUUGCAUUGUGUUACUUGGUUGUAUAACAAGUCUGAGGCAGCACUUACUUUGCAAGAAUUCUGUGUGUAGCUACUCAUUUUGAUCAAUAUACUGAACUAUUCAUGAUUUUUUCAAAACAAGUCAGAUUCUAACUUGGUACCAAAGUGAAUGCUAUGUAUAGAAGUUUCUCUGGCACAUAAAACUUUCAUUGAUAUCCUGAAGAAAUACAACAAAGAGAUUUGAUUGAUAUUUAUAUUCUGCUCAGUUGCAAUAGGACAUGAUUCAGAUAAUUCUAAGUUUCCUUAGGAUUUGUCCUGAGAAUUCUAUGCAAUGGCUUCAACACAUAGAGCAACAAUAUUUCUAGGAGUACUUAGAUAUGCAAAUAUUUCCAUAAUUUUAUAUACUAGUAUGAGAAAAGAUUUUGAAACCCAACCAAUUGUUUCAUUUAGUACAGGAUCACAUUUCACAGAACCAUCAUUUUCAUUUAUAUUCAAAAGUGAGGCUUGUUGCUAUUUAAGGUUAUGUUAUUCAUUAACUCUACCAACACAUUUUUUUCAUGUUAAGGUCAUAGUUGUGUUUCAGGUUUGUUUCAUAAUGAUGUCUCCAGCUGUAUUUUUUGACAUAGAAGCACUUUGAUUAAAACUCAUGGGAAUAUUCUCAUUUCUACAAAGAAAAAUGCUUGUUCUCAUUUUUUUGAAACAGAAAGCCUUUACGGUAGGGUUGUUGGAUUUAGCAAACAAAAAAAUACAUACACAGAAUAUCUAAUUAUAUCUGAAUGUCAGACAGACAACAAAUAUUGCAUGGAACAUACUUAUUCUAGAAAAGUAUGUGUCGUUUAUCCAACAUUCAGCAAAUAUUGUCUGGCCAUCCUGAUAUGUCUUCAUUUUGCCCAUGAUUUAUAGAGACAGCUAGCAAAAUGCUCAGAUAGUCUUCAUUACUUUUUUGUUAUCUUUAAAUGCUGUCAACUGUUUUAAAAUCAAAGUGGGGAACUUCUGCUUCCAACCAAGUAACAGGGGGCUGAAACAACAAACCAAAGCAAAAGCAAGUAAAAUAAGUGAAGCAGCCACUCCCCAGGACAUUGGAAAUCAGGCAAUGAAGGUUUUCAUUAUAUCAAACAAUUAAAAAGCACAUAUUAACUAAGCAUUUUCCACAUGUAAAUCCUGUGUUACAAACACACCACAAACACAAGAGAAGAAAGAGAAGACAAGCUCUCAGCUCUUGGAGAUUUUAUAAUUUGGUAGUGAAGAUAAUAUAAAAAGAUAAUAAACAGUAAAAGAUAGUAAACGGUAGGUGUCAAAAGAGGUAACAUAGACAAGAGGUGUCAGGAGAUCAAUUCCGUCUGUGCCUGUGGAGAAAUAGUCAAAUGUAAGGCUUCAGAUGGAGAAAGGAAAAGAAAGGGUGUGAUACACUAAAUGCUUUACAGUCGUUGUCCUAGUUAAGUCUUUCAACAACCCUCUGAGGCAGAUGUUAUCAUUAUCCUCCAUUCCCAGUUGAAAAAUGACAGUGAGAGGGUCUAAGCCACUCGCCUACAUUCACACAUCUGGUAAGCACUGUGUCCACUAUCACCAAGGUCCUCCUGAUCACCACUGCUGCCUCUGAGGUGUUAGGUAGUAGACUGAGAUUUGCAUGGCCUAUGCUCCCAGAGGUGUGACUGAGAAAGCAAGAUUAAAAAAACUAUUUUAGAAUAUGACUUUACUGUCCCAGGUGUUAUAAAUACAAAUAUCAUUCAAUUACAUUGGAUUACAAGAGUCUAGGGAAAGUGUCAAAGAUCAGAAACACUAAAAUCAAAACAAAUUGAAGUGUUUUGGUGGCUAUUUGCAUGUACAGAAAAGAGAAAGCUAAAGAGAAAGGGAAAAAAACUAAGAUAAAUGUGAGUUUAAAGAUUCCAGAAACACACACAAAAUAUUCCACACGAAUUAAUAAACAAGUGAAGUUGUAAGAUUCAUAAUCAAUGUAAAAUAAUCAGUUCUAAUUUUACACACUACAGUGAACUAAGAAAGAAAUUGAGAAGACUGUUCUACUUACAAUAGUCUUAAAAAGAUAGUUAGGAAUAAAUUUAACCAAGAAAGUCAAUAACCUUGUACUCUAAAACACAGAUGAAAGAUAUUGAAGUAGCUACAAAUAAAUCAAUGUAUGUCCUAUAUUCAUACACUAGAAUUGUUAAAAUGUUCAUAACAUUCAAGCAAUCUGCAUACUCAAUCCCUAUCAAGAUUCCAAUGAGAUUUUUCACAGAAAUAGAAAAAACAGUCCCAAGAUCAAGAUAAGUGCAAGGUUAAAUAUUAUGCACACAAAGACUGUUAUCACUAGUAAACUCAGCAGAGUUGCAUGAUGUAAAAUCAUUACAUAAAAAUCAAUUGUAUUUCUGUACAUUAACCAGCACAAUCUGAAAAGGAAAUUUAGAAAACCCUUCCAUUUUCAAUGGCAUCAAAAAAGAAUAAGACAUUUAGGAGUAAACUUAACAAAACAGGUGAAAGAUUUAUAGACUGUGUCGCUCCCCCUCUUCGUGGAGGAACGACACAGGACCCUGCGCUGUUCUUUCGUCUGCUCGGCCCUCCCCGGGUUUGCUGCUGGUUCUUCCCGGGUUGGCUACUAUCCCUUCCACCUCCGUGGAAGGGCAGUUCCCCCUGGCCGCAUUCCCCACUUCCGCAGGGGAGCGGCACACCGCCGGCCGGUUCUCUCUGGGGGGCUGCACAGGUGUUCCUUCAGCUAGAUGUUCCCCUUAGAUGUUCCUGGUGCAUGCCGUCUCUCUCCUCCUUUAUAGUCCUCCUCCGCCAAUCCUAACUCGGCUGCCCACACGCCGAGUACGCUGCUCUCCUCCAAUCAGGAGCAAGUCCUACAGUUAAUUGGUUGAACUGGAGGCAGCUGUGCGGAAGCUGUUUA